This 239-nucleotide ribosomal RNA is filed under the name uncultured bacterium. RNAcentral's name for it is "partial 16S ribosomal RNA". It matches the Rfam family "Bacterial small subunit ribosomal RNA", at positions 333 to 574 of the family's 1533-position model. The record is from RNAcentral.
UAACGCCUACGGGAGGCAGCAGUGGGGAAUAUUGCACAAUGGGGGAAACCCUGAUGCAGCGACGCCGCGUGAGUGAAGAAGUAUCUCGGUACGUAAAGCUCUAUCGGCAGGGAAGAAAAAAAGUCUUUGGCUUUGGACGGUACCUGACUAAGAAGCCCCGGCUAACUACGUGCCAGCAGCCGCGGUAAUACGUAGGGGGCAAGCGUUAUCCGGAUUUACUAGGGGUAAAGGGAGCGCAG